Molecule: ribosomal RNA, 526 nt
Filed under: uncultured bacterium
Lineage: Bacteria
Description: bacterial SSU rRNA
Rfam family: Bacterial small subunit ribosomal RNA
Source: RNAcentral
AGUGGGGAAUAUUGGACAAUNGGCGCAAGCCUGAUCCAGCAAUGCCGCGUGUGUGAAGAAGGUCUUCGGAUUGUAAAGCACUUUCGACAGGGACGAUGAUGACGGUACCUGUAGAAGAAGCCCCGGCUAACUUCGUGCCAGCAGCCGCGGUAAUACGAAGGGGGCUAGCGUUACUCGGAAUGACUGGGCGUAAAGGGCGCGUAGGCUGUUUGGUAAGUUGGGCGUGAAAUUCCUGGGCUUAACCUGGGGGCUGCGUCCAAGACUGCCUGACUUGAGGAUGGAAGAGGCUCGUGGAAUUCCCAGUGUAGAGGUGAAAUUCGUAGAUAUUGGGAAUAACACCGGUGGCGAAGGCGGCGAGCUGGUCCAUUACUGACGCUGAGGCGCGAUAGCGUGGGGAGCAAACAGGAUUAGGUACCCUGGUAGUCCACGCCGUAAACGAUGUGUGCUGGAUGUUGGGGUUCCUAGAACUUCAGUGUCGUAGCUAACGCGAUAAGCACACCGCCUGGGGAGUACGGCCGCAAGGUUG